CCUAGUAAAGUGGCGGGAGCCGCAGCUAUGGAGCCGCAGGAGGAGAGAGAAACGCAGGUUGCUGCGUGGUUAAAAAAAAUAUUUGGAGAUCAUCCUAUUCCACAGUAUGAGGUGAACCCACGGACCACAGAGAUUUUACAUCACCUUUCAGAACGCAACAGGGUCCGGGACAGGGAUGUCUACCUGGUAAUAGAGGACUUGAAGCAGAAAGCAAGUGAAUACGAGUCAGAAGGUGAGAUUAAGUCCAGAGUUUUGAACGAGAAUAAAUAGAGCCAAGUAUCUUCAAGACCUUCUCAUGGAGAGUGUGAAUUUUUCCCCCGCCAAUCUCUCUAGCACUGGUUCCAGGUAUCUGAAUGCUUUGGUUGACAGUGCGGUGGCCCUUGAAACAAAGGAUACCUCGCUAGCUAGUUUUAUCCCUGCAGUGAAUGAUUUGACCUCUGAUCUCUUUCGUACCAAAUCCAAAAGUGAAGAAAUCAAGAUUGAACUGGAAAAACUUGAAAAAAAUUUAACUGCAACUUUAGUAUUAGAAAAAUGUCUACAAGAGGAUGUCAAGAAAGCAGAGUUGCAUCUGUCUACAGAAAGGGCCAAAGUUGAUAAUCGUCGUCAGAACAUGGACUUUCUAAAAGCAAAGUCAGAGGAAUUCAGAUUUGGAAUCAAGGCUGCAGAGGAGCAACUUUCAGCCAGAGGCAUGGAUGCUUCUCUGUCUCAUCAGUCCUUAGUAGCACUAUCAGAGAAACUGGCAAGAUUAAAGCAACAGACUAUACCUUUGAAGAAAAAAUUGGAGUCCUAUUUAGACUUAAUGCCGAAUCCGUCUCUUGCUCAAGUGAAAAUUGAAGAAGCAAAGCGAGAACUAGAUAGCAUUGAAGCUGAACUUACAAGAAGAGUAGACAUGAUGGAACUGUGACAAAAGCCAAAUAAACAUCCUUUUCCCUAACAAAGUAAAUUGAAUAGGACUUUACAGAGUUCUUUUUCCUCUUGGCAUUUCCUAAUAACAAAACUUUCUGUGUUCUUAGAUUACAGAAUAUCAUAAUUGAUAGAAUAUGGUUUCUUACUGUGUGUUGCAUUUUUGUGCCCAAAUACAUAGUUUUCAUAUUAAAAAGCCUUUUCUCUUA
Homo sapiens (human) is the source of this 1112-nucleotide RNA transcript. It is a transcript of the gene named HAUS augmin like complex subunit 1, with no coding region annotated. The record is from RefSeq and is marked validated. Lineage: Eukaryota; Metazoa; Chordata; Mammalia; Primates; Hominidae. The transcript is spliced from 9 exons.